Homo sapiens (human) is the source of this 2861-nucleotide long non-coding RNA. RefSeq lists it as uncharacterized. The record is from RefSeq and is marked validated. The transcript is spliced from 2 exons. NCBI's taxonomy places the organism in Eukaryota, Metazoa, Chordata, Mammalia, Primates, Hominidae.
ACAUAAAAUCAUCUCUGACGGUGUUGAGGAAAGGUGAGCAGGGGACUGGCCACCCUAUAUUAGGGUCAAGCCUGAGACACCUGAAGCCCUGGACUUGGAAUCUGAAGCUGUCAUCAGCCAGUACACCUAUGAACCUGUGGAAGACCUGAAGUACCUGUUUAAAAGACAGCCAAAAGAUAAGUAAAUACUUCCCAAAUUUCCUUGGUGUCUUUGUUGCAUAGUUGCUGUAGGCUGGAUAAUAGUAGCCAUUGUUAUAUUUUUACAAUUAAUUUCUUUCCUCCAAACAGAUAGAAUCACUUCCUUUCUAAUAAUUAAGCAAAGUAAAAUGUUGUAAUCCAUUUUUGUAACAAUCAUUCCUGACAGGAUAGGUAUCCAUCACCACCCCUACCCCAAAGUUCCCAUUCUAUAGAACAAAAUAACAAAUAUGUAUUUUUUGUGUUCCAUAAUAGUCACCCAUAGCCUGUGUAUACUGGGACCAGGCAUAUGGGAAUCAACUUUAUUUUACAACAGCUUCUCUUUAGCUCUCCAUCAGUUAAUGGAUUCUGGGUAUUUAUUAAGAACUUUACAUUUAAUGGAAAGAAUGUUAAAUACCACCAGCCCCACUCUGGCAGAGGACUGUUGGCUUUGUUUAUCUCCAUCAUCAUCCCAAUACUUUGCCAUCUCAAUCCCAGCCCAAUCUUGGGCCUUUGAGAAAAUAACCUAUCAUUCCUAACUAUAAGGGUGGAACUCCCUUCAAAUUAAUGAGCCUGGAUGACUUAUAUGACUUCAAAAUUAUGUAAAUGACAAGGGUUAGAAUGACAGUAUGAGUAGUAAACCUCCUCCAGUCCCAUCAGAACAAACUUUCUGGGGUUACGUCCCAUUAGAAACCCAUUUGGUGGCCAAUAUCAAUGUACACAGAACUAAAAUUCCAGGUGCCACUUUAUAUUAAGAGAAGCCACAAUUUUUGUCAGGCCCUGGAAACCUUGAAAAGUCAUCGACACAACUGCACCCUGGAAAUUAAUCCCUCACAUAAUCAUGUAAGCUAUGCAGUUACCCAAUCAGCAUUAUUUAGAAAACCUGUAUGGUUUUCAUGGAAAUCAUUCUGAGUUAAGGACACUUUAAAGGAUAUACAGUCUAAGUACUGUCAAGGUAGGCCCACUAGCUGUGUUCACAUUUUCCAUUGGGAAGACUGUACUGAUCCUCAGAUAUCUGGUUGCCUUUUGAUUUGCCGGUAUGAAAAUAGCUUUGGGUGAUUGUUGGAGGACACUAAGUGUAACUAACUCCAUUCGGAAAACAGAACUGCUGGGGCAACUCGGGAUACUUCCCAAGGUCCUUUCCAGCCUUUAACUGGGGCCAUCUUAGCAGGGACCUUAACUACUUGGAAAAACAAAAAUGGCAAGCUAACCCACAUGUUCAUCAUAGAAAACAAUUUUUGUCUUGAACAACAAGGAGCUUUUUUUCCUGCGUGGAACUGGUUCCUACUUAUGUUUACCAGCCAACUGGACUGGAACCUGUACACUUGUUUAUUUAGCCCUGGCAAUUAAUAUAGCUCCCAAUAACCAAUUCCUCAUUUUACCUUUGACUGCAACUGCCAGGCACAGAUUAACCAGUCAACUCAUACCCUUUUGGUAGGGCUAGGCGUAACAGCUGGAAUAGGAACAGAGGUUAGCGGGCUUGCAACUUCCCUAUCCUAUUAUCAAUGCUUGUCCAAGGAUUUUAUGAAAAGCUUGGAUGGCAUUGCCUAAAGUAUCGUCACCUUACAAAAUCAGAUAGACUUCUUGGCAGCAGUCACUUUAUAAAAUAGGAGGGGACUGGAUCUCCCUAAUGCUAAAAAAGGUGGCUUAUGUCUUUUUCCUAGAAGAAGAAUGCUGCUUUUAUGUCAACCAAUCAGGAUUUGUAAGGAAUGCUACCCAGAAAAAUUAGCUGACUGGGCCUCUGAUAUAUGACAACAGCUGUCCAAGUCAUGGCACUCCUGAUCAAAAAUGCUAAGUUUGGGGUUCAUGACUCCUUCCUCUAGCUGGCCCUUCAUUAAUGAUGAUACUUCCCUUGGUUUUCGGAUGUUGUUUGUUAAAUCUCUUAACCAAAUUCAUUUCCUCUUGCCUGGAGACCAUCAAGCUGCAGAUAAUGAUGCAGCAAGGCUUCCAGGUAAAGACACCACCCCUGGACAUCAAGAAGCUAGCCUCUCUCCACUAGACAGAGCAGGGCAGGAUUUCUGUGAUCCCCAAUAGGUAGGGACUGCACCCAAUUCAGGAUGAAGCAGUUACAGAAGAAAGACCGUCAGUCUCUCUGCCUGCCGUGAAGACUUUAUGGGGAUCACAUCUCUCAUGGGGGAGAAAUGAGGCAGGAAAAUAGGUACUGGGGGCAGGGAACCUAAGGCCAAUUCACAUUGACUUCCUAGAACUAAAUCAAAAGGAAAAACCCAACUUUCCACAUAACAAAAGAAUAGAAGCUACUCCCUUUGCAAUCCCCACCCCCUUUCUGCAUGGCAGAUGAGAAAUGGAAAGUACCUCUGAUGGCUUCCCUCUCACAACCAAUCAGAGUGGACACGAGCCUAGUUUUCAUUUGCAUAGGGGUGUAACUUUGUAACUUUACUUCAGCCUCUGAUUGGUCCCCUCCCACAACCAGUCAGAUGUUUGCGUAGGGUAUAACUUUCUAAGUUCACUUCAGCCUCCGAUUGGUCACCUUCUGAAACCAAUCAGACUGGUCACAGGCCACUCCUUCAUUUACAUAGAAUGUAAACCAAGUAACCAAUGGGACACCUCUAGAAGGUAUUUAAACCCCAGAAAAUUUUGUAACCUGUGAUCUUGAGCCACUUGGUCGAGACUGCUCCCACUUUGUGGAAUGUACUUUCAUUUCAAUAAAUCUGUGGUUUUGUUGCUUCA